GCGGGGCCUCGGACCCCGCCCUCCGCCUUCCCCGGGAUUCCGUGCUGUGCGGGCCGGGCGCUGGCGUUGGAUUGAGUUCUGUGAGUUGACUGGGCAUUCUGCAUCACAAGGUGUGGCUGGGCACUGGAACAGCCGAAGUCACCUGGGAGCUGACUGGGUUGGACUGUCCAGGAUGGUUCACUCCUACGACAGUGGAUGCUCAACUGGGGCUGUCAACUGGAGCCCCCAUAGUGCCUUUGUGAACAUGGGGGUCCCCAAGUUUUCAGCGGGUGAAGCCAGCAGGCAACAGCUCACACUGGCAUUUUGUCAGUCGGGCACCUUUAUCUUGGCAUUUGGGCUUCCAUCCAGGCUGCCUCAGCUCUUUUGAAUGAACAUGGCCUGCAAAUAGUUCAUCCACAGAGCUGGCUUGGCAGGCGAAGGCUUCUCAGCCCAAGCAGGGGGCUCGAUCUGCCUGCUCUCCUUUCUGUGGCCUCGGAUCCAGCCCUCACUUCUUACCUCCACCAGAUUUGGAGUUUUCAGAGCUAACUGAGGCUUCGGGAAAAGUUCUGUGUUUGGACAAAGCUUUGCAAUAAGGCAGAUCUGGGUUUGAAUCAUCAAUUUAUUUAAUCCUGAAAACCUCAAUUUUAUCUGUAAAAUAAAGAUGAUAAUCAUAA
Molecule: long non-coding RNA, 653 nt
Filed under: Homo sapiens (human)
Lineage: Eukaryota; Metazoa; Chordata; Mammalia; Primates; Hominidae
Description: HSALNT0318803
Source: RNAcentral